CAGCAGCCGCGGGAAUACGAAGGGGGCUAGCGUUGCUCGGAAUUACUGGGCGUAAAGGGCGCGUAGGCGGACAGUUCAGUCGGGGGUGAAAGCCCGGGGCUCAACCUCGGAAUUGCCUUCGAUACUGGCGAUCUUGAGUCCGGGAGAGGUGAGUGGAACUGCGAGUGUAGAGGUGAAAUUCGUAGAUAUUCGCAAGAACACCAGUGGCGAAGGCGGCUCACUGGCCCGGAACUGACGCUGAGGCACGACAGCGUGGGGAGCAAACAGGAUUAGAUACCCCAGUAGUCCCUGUCUCUUAUAC
RNAcentral lists this ribosomal RNA (301 nucleotides) under uncultured bacterium. RNAcentral's name for it is "partial 16S ribosomal RNA". It matches the Rfam family "Bacterial small subunit ribosomal RNA", at positions 509 to 807 of the family's 1533-position model. The record is from RNAcentral.